RNAcentral lists this long non-coding RNA (1717 nucleotides) under Mytilus galloprovincialis (Mediterranean mussel). The record is from RNAcentral. Lineage: Eukaryota; Metazoa; Mollusca; Bivalvia; Mytilida; Mytilidae.
CACAAACUAAAGAAUAUAUUUAUCAUUAAGUUAAAUAUGGUCAAUACCAAAGUUAAAACCAAAAUUGUAAAAUCACUUCUCUAAACUCUGUAUGGUAAAAUAACUAACCGAUGGUAACAAAUAGUUUUACUUUUCCCUGUCUUUAUUUUAAUACACGGGGUACCAAUUUUACUUUUCACCGUCUAUAUUUUAAUCCACUAUUUCCUACAUAAGAAAAUGCAUGUACCAAAUUAGGAAUAUGACAGUUGUAUAUUUAUUUGUUUGAUGUGAAAAUAUUUUUUUUGAUUUUGUUAUUUUACUAAGAAUUGUACGUUUUAUAUAUCCCUUAGAGUUCGAUAAUUUUGUUAUUUUACUAUUUACUUAUGAAUUAUGAAUAAACUUUGUGUUUUGUCUUACAUAGUUUUAUUAUACAAAUACAGUUUUUCUGUUUCAUGUUUUAAAGGAUGUACUUAGGUGAGGUUUUGGAAAUUGGUUAAAAUGAUUCGGACUUCUCGGUAUUUUUCCACCAAUACAGGGUAAAAUAUUUUGCCCAAUAACACCCAUUUAUCUUUGUAUAAAAGACUUCAAUAGCUCAUAAAAGUUCAUUUUCCAAAAUUUAAGAAAUUUCUGAAUUUUUGUACUUUUGAUUUGAGACCCAAAUAAUACCAAUGCAAUUGUAAGAUAAAAGUCCGAGUUAGCCUUUUACCGCUUUUUUUUUAGAUAAAAUAUCUCGAAAAGGAGGUCCAUGACCUAUCAAUAUUUUAUGCAUAUUUUGUUCCUUAACUGGUGCUCUUUCAAAAUGUAGUAUCAAUUUUAAGUUCUUGAAUUUUAAGUUUCACCUAAGUACAUCCUUAACUCAGAGUAAAGAUGUUAUAGCUGCCGACCUUAAAUGGUUCUUCUUUCAUUAUGUGCUCAUCAGAAAGAAAUAAAAGCUAUGUUUUAUGAAAUCUUUUAGCUCUUUAUUGAAAAAGAUUAAGUCUUUAAAUGACCAAAGAAUGUAUGAAUUUCAGGGGCUAAAAAACAUAACAAUAAAAAUCUAUAAAUAACAUUUGAUAUUUAAGACAAAGAAAAUAAUAUAAUGAGUUUCUUUUGUUGUGGGUACUUUCAUAAGAAAUUAAAACAUAUAUUAAAACAGGCCACAUGAAACUGUCAAACAUGAAACAGCUGUUUUGAAUGUCUUUAAUUGAAAAUGAAUGAUUGAUUGAUCGAUUGUUAGUGUUCAGGGCCACUUGAAGCACUACUAGCUUUAUCACGACGGCAUUUUUUUUUUAUUAAUUGGAAAAACCGGAAUCUGCUUAGAGUACCAACGAUCUUGAGCAGAAAAAAAAUUACACUUCUAUUCAAUUAUUUAUUAUUAUACCCAUGUGCAGUGUUCGAACUCCCAACGGGUUAACCAAAAAAUAAAUAUAACAGUAAAGUUUCUAUUAGUAAGAACUCAUAUUACUCCAAAUAACCCUUUGAUCAAAAUGAACAUACAGAUACUAGCAGGAAAACAUUGGUGUAAGGAUAUCCAUAUGUGUGCAUGGAGUUUUUUUUUCGUCGGCAUUUUACAAUUGUUACACUUUAUUACACAAGUUACAAUGUUUUGCACAUACAUGUAUUACAAUGUUUUAUAUGAUGUGACAAUGUAUAACUCAUGUUAAUAUAUAUUUCUCAUGUAUAACAAUAUUGAGGACAUGUUAUAAUGUAAAACAGGAAUAACACAUAUUACAUUGUGUAGUACAUGUUACAGUGUUAA